CCUACGGGAGGCAGCAGUGAGGAAUAUUGGUCAAUGGACGAGAGUCUGAACCAGCCAAGUAGCGUGAAGGAUGACUGCCCUAUGGGUUGUAAACUUCUUUUAUAUGGGAAUAAAAUGUGCCACGUGUGGGAUUUUGUAUGUACCAUAUGAAUAAGGAUCGGCUAACGCCGUGCCAGCAGCCGCGGGAAUACGGAGGAUCCGAGCGUUAUCCGGAUUUAUUGGGUUUAAAGGGAGCGUAGGUGGAUUGUUAAGUCAGUUGUGAAAGUUUGCGGCUCAACCGUAAAAUUGCAGUUGAAACUGGCAGUCUUGAGUACAGUAGAGGUGGGCGGAAUUCGUGGUGUAGCGGUGAAAUGCUUAGAUAUCACGAAGAACUCCGAUUGCGAAGGCAGUUCACUGGACUGCAACUGACACUGAGGCUCGAAAGUGUGGGUAUCAAACAGGAUUAGAUACCCUAGUAGUC
RNAcentral lists this ribosomal RNA (460 nucleotides) under uncultured bacterium. RNAcentral describes it as "partial 16S ribosomal RNA". It matches the Rfam family "Bacterial small subunit ribosomal RNA", at positions 338 to 795 of the family's 1533-position model. The record is from RNAcentral.